This 420-nucleotide ribosomal RNA is filed under the name uncultured bacterium. RNAcentral's name for it is "bacterial SSU rRNA". It matches the Rfam family "Bacterial small subunit ribosomal RNA", at positions 355 to 776 of the family's 1533-position model. The record is from RNAcentral.
UGGGGAAUAUUGCGCAAUGGGCGAAAGCCUGACGCAGCAACGCCGCGUGGGUGAAGAAGGCCUUCGGGUCGUAAAGCCCUGUCAAGUGGGAAGAACCCUGCCCUUGAGGCAGCUGACGGUACCACUGAAGGAAGCACCGGCUAACUCCGUGCCAGCAGCCGCGGUAAUACGGAGGGUGCAAGCGUUGUUCGGAAUCACUGGGCGUAAAGGGCGCGUAGGCGGCUGGUCGGGUCUGAUGUGAAAGCCCGGGGCUCAACCCCGGAAGUGCAUUGGAAACUGGCUGGCUUGAGUUCGGGAGAGGAGGGCAGAAUUCCCGGUGUAGGGGUGAAAUCCGUAGAGAUCGGGAGGAAAACCAGUGGCGAAGGCGGCCCUCUGGAACGAAACUGACGCUGAGGCGCGAAAGCGUGGGGAGCAAACAGG